UACAGAGGUCUCAAGCGUUGUUCGGAUUCAUUGGGCGUAAAGGGUGCGUAGGCGGCGCGGUAAGUCGGGUGUGAAAUCUCGGAGCUUAACUCCGAAACUGCAUUCGAUACUGCCGUGCUUGAGGACUGGAGAGGAGACUGGAAUUUACGGUGUAGCGGUGAAAUUCGUAGAUAUCAGGAGGAACACCAGUGGCGAAGGCGGCUUCCUGGACACCAACUGACGCUGAGACGCGAAAGCGUGGGGAGCAAACAGG
RNAcentral lists this ribosomal RNA (253 nucleotides) under uncultured bacterium. RNAcentral describes it as "partial 16S ribosomal RNA". It matches the Rfam family "Bacterial small subunit ribosomal RNA", at positions 524 to 776 of the family's 1533-position model. The record is from RNAcentral.